AACGAACGCUGGCGGCAUGCCUAACACAUGCAAGUCGAACGAGACCUUCGGGUCUAGUGGCGCACGGGUGCGUAACGCGUGGGAACCUGCCCUUAGGUUCGGAAUAACUCCCCGAAAGGGGUGCUAAUACCGGAUAAUGUCUUCGGACCAAAGAUUUAUCGCCUUUGGAUGGGCCCGCGUUGGAUUAGCUAGUUGGUAGGGUAAAAGCCUACCAAGGCGACGAUCCAUAGCUGGUCUGAGAGGAUGAUCAGCCACACUGGGACUGAGACACGGCCCAGACCCCUACGGGAGGCAGCAGUGGGGAAUAUUAGACAAUGGGCGAAAGCCUGAUCCAGCAAUGCCGCGUGAGUGAUGAAGGCCUUAGGGUUGUAAAGCUCUUUUACCCGGGAUGAUAAUGGCAGUACCGGGAGAAUAAGCACCGGCUAACUCCGUG
This 433-nucleotide ribosomal RNA is filed under the name uncultured bacterium. Its description in RNAcentral is "partial 16S ribosomal RNA". It matches the Rfam family "Bacterial small subunit ribosomal RNA", at positions 29 to 507 of the family's 1533-position model. The record is from RNAcentral.